RNAcentral lists this ribosomal RNA (1434 nucleotides) under uncultured Clostridiaceae bacterium. RNAcentral's name for it is "16S ribosomal RNA". It matches the Rfam family "Bacterial small subunit ribosomal RNA". Lineage: Bacteria; Bacillati; Bacillota; Clostridia; Eubacteriales; Clostridiaceae. The record is from RNAcentral.
GAUGAACGCUGGCGGCGCGCCUAACACAUGCAAGUCGAACGGAAAUAUGGGGCUUGCUCCAUAUUUUAGUGGCGAACGGGUGAGUAACGCGUGAGCAAUCCGGCUCUCGGCGGGGGACAACGGAGGGAAACUUUCGCUAAUACCGCGUAACAUUUCUUUACCGCAUGGUGAGGAAAUCAAAGAUUUAUCACCGAGAGAUGAGCUCGCGUCCGAUUAGGCAGUUGGCGGGGUAACGGCCCACCAAACCGACGAUCGGUAGCCGGACUGAGAGGUUGAACGGCCACAUUGGGACUGAGAUACGGCCCAGACUCCUACGGGAGGCAGCAGUGGGGGAUAUUGCACAAUGGAGGAAACUCUGAUGCAGCGACGCCGCGUGAGGGAAGAAGGUUUUCGGAUUGUAAACCUCUGUCAGCGGGGAAGAAAAUGACGGUACCCGCGAAGGAAGCCACGGCUAACUACGUGCCAGCAGCCGCGGUAAUACGUAGGUGGCAAGCGUUAUCCGGAAUUACUGGGUGUAAAGGGAGUGUAGGCGGGGUAACAAGUCAGAAGUGAAAUGUCGGGGCUCAACCCCGGAACUGCUUUUGAAACUGUUACUCUUGAGUAAAGCAGGGGCAAGCGGAAUUCCCGGUGUAGCGGUGGAAUGCGUAGAUAUCGGGAGGAAUACCGGUGGCGAAAGCGGCUUGCUGGGCUUUUACUGACGCUGAGGCUCGAAAGCGUGGGGAGCAAACAGGAUUAGAUACCCUGGUAGUCCACGCUGUAAACGAUGAUUACUAGGUGUGGGGAGGUAACCCCUUUCCGUGCCGAAGCAAACGCGAUAAGUAAUCCACCUGGGGAGUACGACCGCAAGGUUGAAACUCAAAGGAAUUGACGGGGGCCCGCACAAGCAGUGGAGUAUGUGGUUUAAUUCGAAGCAACGCGAAGAACCUUACCGGGGCUUGACAUGGCACUGAAUAAGCAAGAGAUUGCUUAGUCCUUUCGGGGACAGUGUCACAGGUGGUGCAUGGUUGUCGUCAGCUCGUGUCGUGAGAUGUUGGGUUAAGUCCCGCAACGAGCGCAACCCUUAUCCUUAGUUGCUACAUUUAGUUGAGAACUCUAAGGAGACUGCCGUUGACAAAACGGAGGAAGGUGGGGAUGAGGUCAAAUCAUCAUGCCCUUUAUGUCCCGGGCUACACACGUACUACAAUGGCGUUUAACAAACCGAAGCAAGACCGCGAGGUGGAGCGAACCGGAAAAAAACGUCCCAGUUCAGAUUGCAGGCUGCAACUCGCCUGUAUGAAGUUGGAAUUGCUAGUAAUCGUAGGUCAGCAUACUACGGUGAAUACGUUCCCGGGCCUUGUACACACCGCCCGUCAAACCAUGAGAGUCGGCAACACCCGAAGCCGUUAGCCUAACCGUAAGGAGGGCGACGUCGAAGGUGGGGUUGGUGAUUAGGGU